GGGAAGGAGAUAUGGAGCCAGUGAGUGGCAACUGGUUCUUCGGUGCUAUCAAAAACAGCCUUCUAUGCGCUAUCAGAGCCACUCGUCCUUUCUCCUUUACUUUCAGUCAAGGUCUAGUCUCGCGCAGCUAAUGAAAGGGAAUACCUUAGAACAGAACCUACUAUAAGCCCUGAGAGCCAGAAAGCAAACCCCCCUUACCAACCUCUUAACCUA
This 213-nucleotide long non-coding RNA is filed under the name Gossypium barbadense (sea-island cotton). RNAcentral's name for it is "long non-coding RNA (GBAR_LNC002201)". Lineage: Eukaryota; Viridiplantae; Streptophyta; Magnoliopsida; Malvales; Malvaceae. The record is from RNAcentral.